CCUACGGGUGGCUGCAGUGAGGAAUAUUGGUCAAUGGACGAGAGUCUGAACCAGCCAAGUAGCGUGAAGGAUGACUGCCCUCUGGGUUGUAAACUUCUUUUAUAUGGGAAUAAAAUGUUCCACGUGUGGGAUUUUGUAUGUACCAUAUGAAUAAGGAUCGGCUAACUCCGUGCCAGCAGCCGCGGUAAUACGGAGGAUCCGAGCGUUAUCCGGAUUUAUUGGGUUUAAAGGGAGCGUCGGUGGAUUGUUAAGUCAGUUGUGAAAGUUUGCGGCUCAACCGUAAAAUUGCAGUUGAAACUGGCAGUCUUGAGUACAGUAGAGGUGGGCGGAAUUCGUGGUGUAGCGGUGAAAUGCUUAGAUAUCACGAAGAACUCCGAUUGCGAAGGCAGUUCACUGGACUGCAACUGACACUGAGGCUCGAAAGUGUGGGUAUCAAACAGGAUUAGAUACCCGAGUAGUC
RNAcentral lists this ribosomal RNA (460 nucleotides) under uncultured bacterium. RNAcentral's name for it is "partial 16S ribosomal RNA". It matches the Rfam family "Bacterial small subunit ribosomal RNA", at positions 338 to 795 of the family's 1533-position model. The record is from RNAcentral.